UACGGAGGGUGCAAGCGUUAUCCGGAUUCACUGGGUUUAAAGGGUGCGUAGGUGGGCAAGUAAGUCAGUGGUGAAAUCUCCGGGCUUAACCCGGAAACUGCCAUUGAUACUAUUUGUCUUGAAUACUGUGGAGGUCAGCGGAAUAUGUCAUGUAGCGGUGAAAUGCUUAGAUAUGACAUAGAACACCAAUUGCGAAGGCAGCUGGCUACACAAAUAUUGACACUGAGGCACGAAAGCGAGGGGAUCAAACAGG
This 253-nucleotide ribosomal RNA is filed under the name uncultured bacterium. RNAcentral describes it as "partial 16S ribosomal RNA". It matches the Rfam family "Bacterial small subunit ribosomal RNA", at positions 524 to 776 of the family's 1533-position model. The record is from RNAcentral.